GGAAAGAAAAAGAAAGAAAGCACAUAAUAAAAUUUAUACCACAAAUUCCCAUUAAUCAUAACACUCAUCUUUUUCAUUCAUUCAUACUUGUUAUGUGAAAGAAAAAGAAAGAAAGCACCGAGAGAAAGAAAACCGUGAGAGAGAACGAGAGAAACUAUGGCACCGUGAAAUUUAUGGUUUUGAUUUUUUGAUAUUCGUAACUCCAAUUAAAAAUCUAAUCCGGUAAAAGUGUUGGUAUCUUUCUCCUUUACGUGUUGGUGUUAUUUUUGUUCGGUGGAAGUCGACGGUGACGUAGCUUUUCUACCCCUUGAACUUGGCCAACUGGAGUUCUACGAGACACGGAAGAUUCCGGACGUUUUUCCUUUUAGCAGCUCG
Molecule: long non-coding RNA, 375 nt
Filed under: Arachis ipaensis
Lineage: Eukaryota; Viridiplantae; Streptophyta; Magnoliopsida; Fabales; Fabaceae
Description: long non-coding RNA (AIPA_LNC000185)
Source: RNAcentral